RNAcentral lists this ribosomal RNA (300 nucleotides) under Triticum aestivum (bread wheat). RNAcentral describes it as "partial small subunit ribosomal RNA". Lineage: Eukaryota; Viridiplantae; Streptophyta; Magnoliopsida; Poales; Poaceae. The record is from RNAcentral.
AUGGAGUGCAGGAAGAUGAAGCCCGUCCUUGCUCUCGUGCUGCUGCUGUCGUGCCAUCUUCUUCUUCCGCUGGUCUCCUCUGUGCCCGUGUCGAGAAGCGUGUCCUUGGCAAAUCAUCAAGCCUCAGCUUCUAGUCUGACUCCGGAGGCGGUGCCUGUUCAGGGCGUCGUGACGACGGGCGCCGAGGAGCAAAGCGUCGUCGGCGAAGUGGUGGCGCGGAUGGACAUCGAGAUCAACGACUACCCUGGAUCCAGCGCCAACGGCCGCCAUGAGCCGCCUAGGAGCCCUGGGAGGGGGUGA